RNAcentral lists this ribosomal RNA (859 nucleotides) under uncultured bacterium. Its description in RNAcentral is "bacterial SSU rRNA". It matches the Rfam family "Bacterial small subunit ribosomal RNA", at positions 26 to 864 of the family's 1533-position model. The record is from RNAcentral.
AGAACGAACGCUGGCAGCGUGGAUUAGGCAUGCAAGUCGAACGGGAUCAACUGGUUAGCAAUAAUUGGUUGUGAGAGUGGCGGAUUGGCGAGGAACACGUGAGCAACCUGUCCUUGAGUUGGGGAAAACCGUUGGAAACGACGGCUAAUACUGGAUGUGGCGCCUGGGGACAUCCUUGGAGCGCUAAAGGGGGCCGCAAGGCUCUCGCUCGAUGAGGGGCUCGCGCAUCAUCAGCUAGUUGGCGGGGUAACGGCCCACCAAGGCAUACGGUUAGCUGGUCUGAGAGGAUGACCAGCCGCACUGGGACUGAGAUACUGCCCAGACUCCUACGGGAGGCUGCAGUCGAGGAUCAUUUGCAAUGGGCGAAAGCCUGACAAUGCGACGCUGCGUGGAGGAUGAAGGCCUUCGGGUUGUAAACUCCUGUCAUAAGGGAAAAGGCGAGGGGACCUAAUACGUCCUUUAGUUGAUUGUACUUUAAGAGGAAGCGACGGCUAACUCUGUGCCAGCAGCCGCGGUAAUACAGAGGUCGCAAGCGUUGUUCGGAUUUACUGGGCGUAAAGGGCACGUAGGUGGCGAGGCGUGUCGAGUGUGAAAGCUCUGGGCUCAACCCAGAAAGUGCGCUCGAAACUACCUUGCUUGAGUGCGGGAGAGGGAAUCGGAAUAUAGGGUGUAGCGGUGAAAUGCGUUGAUAUCCUAUAGAACACCGGAGGCGAAGGCGGAUUCCUAGAACGCAACUGACACUAAGGUGCGAAAGUCGGGGGAGCAAACAGGAUUAGAUACCCUGGUAGUCCCGACCAUAAACGGUGCAUACUCGAGGUGGGGAGAUUUACCCUUUCUGUCUCUUAGCUAACGCGUUAAG